GAUGAACGCUGGCGGCGUGCCUAAUACAUGCAAGUCGAGCGAACAGACGAGGAGCUUGCUCCUCUGAUGUUAGCGGCGGACGGGUGAGUAACACGUGGAUAACCUACCUAUAAGACUGGGAUAACUUCGGGAAACCGGAGCUAAUACCGGAUAACAUGUUGAACCGCAUGGUUCAACAGUGAAAGACGGUCUUGCUGUCUCUUAUAGAUGGAUCCGCGCCGCAUUAGCUAGUUGGUAAGGUAACGGCUUACCAAGGCAACGAUGCGUAGCCGACCUGAGAGGGUGAUCGGCCACACUGGAACUGAGACACGGUCCAGGCUCCUACGGGAGGCAGCAGUAGGGAAUCUUCCGCAAAGGGCGAAAGCCUGACGGAGCAACGCCGCGUGAGUGAAGAAGGUCUUCGGAUCGUAAAACUCUGUUAUUAGGGAAGAACAAAUGUGUAAGUAACUAUGCACGUCUUGACGGUACCUAAUCAGAAAGCCACGGCUAACUACGUG
RNAcentral lists this ribosomal RNA (497 nucleotides) under uncultured bacterium. Its description in RNAcentral is "partial 16S ribosomal RNA". It matches the Rfam family "Bacterial small subunit ribosomal RNA", at positions 28 to 507 of the family's 1533-position model. The record is from RNAcentral.